Molecule: long non-coding RNA, 240 nt
Filed under: Elaeis guineensis (African oil palm)
Lineage: Eukaryota; Viridiplantae; Streptophyta; Magnoliopsida; Arecales; Arecaceae
Description: long non-coding RNA (EGUI_LNC068167)
Source: RNAcentral
UGGUUCUGUGAGGGGUGUUUGGUUGGUCGGUCGAGAGUAGCAUCAGUCUGCUCAAUCGAUAUAUAGUCGGUAAUCGCUUCCAGGAUUGUCUGUUCAUUUGGUGGAUCAGAGUCGGGCAUCGAUCGGUGUGUGCUAGAGAUCGAUCGAUUUAUGGAGGUCGAUCGGUUUACUCCAACAGCUGCCCCUCCACUCCCGAGUCCAAUGGUGAAUCAUCACAUGCGUCCUCACAUGGUUAAUCAU